GGCUUAAAGUUUGAUCAUGGCUCAGGACGAACGCUGGCGGCGUGCUUAACACAUGCAAGUCGAACGGGGUGUUUAUUUCGGUAAACACCAAGUGGCGAACGGGUGAGUAACGCGUAAGCAAUCUACCUUCAAGAUGGGGACAACACUUCGGAAGGGGUGCUAAUACCGAAUGAAUGAGAGAUGACCGCAUGGAUAUUUCUCUAAAGGAGGCCUCUGAAAAUGCUUCCGCUUGAAGAUGAGCUUGCGUCUGAUUAGCUAGUUGGUGAGGGUAAAGGCCCACCAAGGCGACGAUCAGUAGCCGGUCUGAGAGGAUGAACGGCCACAUUGGGACUGACACACGGCCCAGACUCCUACGGGAGGCAGCAGUGGGGAGUCUUCCGCAAUGGGCGAAAGCCUGACGGAGCAACGCCGCGUGAAUGAAGAAGGUCUUAGGAUCGUAAAGUUCUGUUGUUAGGGGCGAAGGGCAACAUUUUGAAUAAGGGUGUUGUUUGACGGUACUUAACGAGGAAGCCACGGCUAACUACGUGCCAUCAGCCGCGGUAAUACGUACGCGGCAAGCGAUGUCCGGCAUUAUUGGGUCGUAAAGGGUGCGCAUGCGGGAGGUUAAGCGGACUUUAAAGUGCGGGGCUCAACCCCGUGAGGGGGUCCGAACUGACUUUCUU
Molecule: ribosomal RNA, 662 nt
Filed under: uncultured bacterium
Lineage: Bacteria
Description: bacterial SSU rRNA
Rfam family: Bacterial small subunit ribosomal RNA
Source: RNAcentral